AGUGAACGCUGGCGGUAGGCCUAACACAUGCAAGUCGAACGGCAGCACAGUAAGAGCUUGCUCUUACGGGUGGCGAGUGGCGGACGGGUGAGGAAUACAUCGGAAUCUACUUUUUCGUGGGGGAUAACGUAGGUAAUCUUACGCUAAUACCGCAUACGACCUACGGGUGUAAGCAGCGGACCUUCGGCCCUUGCGCGAUUGAAUGAGCCGAUGUCGGAUUAGCUAGUUGGCGGGGUAAAGGCCCACCAAGGCGACGAUCCGUAGCUGGUCUGAGAGGAUGAUCAGCCACACUGGAACUGAGACACGGUCCAGACUCCUACGGGAGGCAGCAGUGGGGAAUAUUGGACAAUGGGCGAAAGCCUGAUCCAGCAAUACCGCGGGGGUGAAGAAGGCCUUCGGGUUUUAAAGCCCUUUUGUUGGGAAAGAAAAGCAGCAGGUUAAUAUCCCGCUGUUCUGACGGUACCCAAAGAAUAAGCACCGGCUAACUUCGUG
Molecule: ribosomal RNA, 492 nt
Filed under: uncultured bacterium
Lineage: Bacteria
Description: partial 16S ribosomal RNA
Rfam family: Bacterial small subunit ribosomal RNA
Source: RNAcentral